UACGGAGGGGGUUAGCGUUGUUCGGAAUUACUGGGCGUAAAGCGCACAUAGGCGGACUGGAAAGUUGGGGGUGAAAUCCCGGGGCUCAACCUCGGAACUGCCUUCAAAACUCCCAGUCUUGAGGUCGAGAGAGGUGAGUGGAAUUCCGAGUGUAGAGGUGAAAUUCGUAGAUAUUCGGAGGAACACCAGUGGCGAAGGCGGCUCACUGGCUCGAUACUGACGCUGAGGUGCGAAAGCGUGGGGAGCAAACAGG
Molecule: ribosomal RNA, 253 nt
Filed under: uncultured bacterium
Lineage: Bacteria
Description: partial 16S ribosomal RNA
Rfam family: Bacterial small subunit ribosomal RNA
Source: RNAcentral